CCUACGGGAGGCUGCAGUGAGGAAUAUUGGUCAAUGGUCGCAAGACUGAACCAGCCAUGCCGCGUGCCGGAAGACGGCUCUAUGUGUUGUAAACUGCUUUUGUAAGCGGAUAAACGCUGCUACGCGUCUCUGUCUGAAAGUAUCGUACGAAUAAGGAUCGGCUAACUCCGUGCCAGCAGCCGCGGUAAUACGGAGGAUUCGAGCGUUAUCCGGAUUUAUUGGGUUUAAAGGGUGCGUAGGCGGUCGGAUAAGUUAGAGGGGAAAUCCCGAGGCUCAACUUCGGAAUUGCCUCUGAUACUGGUCGGCUAGAGAGGAGGAGCGGUAGGCGGAAUGUAGGGUGUAGCGGUGAAAUGCAUAGAGAUCACACAGAACACCGAUUGCGAAGGCAGCAUACCAAGCUACUUCUGACGUUGAGGCACGAAAGCGUGGGUAGCAAACAGGAUUAGAUACCCCGGUAGUC
This 460-nucleotide ribosomal RNA is filed under the name uncultured bacterium. Its description in RNAcentral is "partial 16S ribosomal RNA". It matches the Rfam family "Bacterial small subunit ribosomal RNA", at positions 338 to 795 of the family's 1533-position model. The record is from RNAcentral.